AAUGAUGGGUUUUUAAUUUCAAAUAUGAGUAAAUGAUAGUUGUCAUAUUAUGGCUUCAAGCAAGGGGUGCAUGUACCAUUUAAGAUCUCUCUUUCAUGUGAAAAGAAUAUAUUAGUCUUAGGGGAAAAAGUUCUAAGUUUUCCACAUGUUUCCCUUUGCUAAUAGUUUUGAUACAUUUUAAAUUUCCCCGGAAAUUUUUUAUUUCUAGGUGAAGAGGUCCUUAAAAGGAA
Molecule: unclassified non-coding RNA, 230 nt
Filed under: Hevea brasiliensis (rubber tree)
Lineage: Eukaryota; Viridiplantae; Streptophyta; Magnoliopsida; Malpighiales; Euphorbiaceae
Source: RNAcentral